UGCACGUCUAAGCAGUAAGGCUGAGUAUUAGGCAAAUCCGGUACUCGUUAAGGCUGAGCUGUGAUGGGGAGAAGACAUUGUGUCUUCGAGUCGUUUAAGGUCCGUGUUCGAAAGGGAAACAGCCCAGACCACCAGCUAAGGUCCCAAAAUAUAUGUUAAGUGGAAAAGGAUGUGGCGUUGCCCAGACAACUAGGAUGUUGGCUUAGAAGCAGCCAUCAUUUAAAGAGUGCGUAAUAGCUCACUAGUCGAGUGACACUGCGCCGAAAAUGUACCGGGGCUAAACAUAUUACCGAAGCUGUGGAUUGUCCUUUGGACAAUGGUAGGAGAGCGUUCUAAGGGCGUUGAAGCAUGAUCGUAAGGACAUGUGGAGCGCUUAGAAGUGAGAAUGCCGGUGUGAGUAGCGAAAGACGGGUGAGAAUCCCGUCCACCGAUUGACUAAGGUUUCCAGAGGAAGGCUCGUCCGCUCUGGGUUAGUCGGGUCCUAAGCUGAGGCCGACAGGCGUAGGCGAUGGAUAACAGGUUGAUAUUCCUGUACCACCUAUAAUCGUUUUAAUCGAUGGGGGGACGCAGUAGGAUAGGCGAAGCGUGCGAUUGGAUUGCACGUCUAAGCAGUAAGGCUGAGUAUUAGGCAAAUCCGGUACUCGUUAAGGCUGAGCUGUGAUGGGGAGAAGACAUUGUGUCUUCGAGUCGUUGAUUUCACACUGCCGAGAAAAGCCUCUAGAUAGAAAAUAGGUGCCCGUACCGCAAACCGACACAGGUAGUCAAGAUGAGAAUUCUAAGGUGAGCGAGCGAACUCUCGUUAAGGAACUCGGCAAAAUGACCCCGUAACUUCGGGAGAAGGGGUGCUCUUUAGGGUUAACGCCCAGAAGAGCCGCAGUGAAUAGGCCCAAGCGACUGUUUAUCAAAAACACAGGUCUCUGCUAAACCGUAAGGUGAUGUAUAGGGGCUGACGCCUGCCCGGUGCUGGAAGGUUAAGAGGAGUGGUUAGCUUCUGCGAAGCUACGAAUCGAAGCCCCAGUAAACGGCGGCCGUAACUAUAACGGUCCUAAGGUAGCGAAAUUCCUUGUCGGGUAAGUUCCGACCCGCACGAAAGGCGUAACGAUUUGGGCACUGUCUCAACGAGAGACUCGGUGAAAUCAUAGUACCUGUGAAGAUGCAGGUUACCCGCGACAGGACGGAAAGACCCCGUGGAGCUUUACUGUAGCCUGAUAUUGAAAUUCGGCACAGCUUGUACAGGAUAGGUAGGAGCCUUUGAAACGUGAGCGCUAGCUUACGUGGAGGCGCUGGUGGGAUACUACCCUAGCUGUGUUGGCUUUCUAACCCGCACCACUUAUCGUGGUGGGAGACAGUGUCAGGCGGGCAGUUUGACUGGGGCGGUCGCCUCCUAAAAGGUAACGGAGGCGCUCAAAGGUUCCCUCAGAAUGGUUGGAAAUCAUUCAUAGAGUGUAAAGGCAUAAGGGAGCUUGACUGCGAGACCUACAAGUCGAGCAGGGUCGAAAGACGGACUUAGUGAUCCGGUGGUUCCGCAUGGAAGGGCCAUCGCUCAACGGAUAAAAGCUACCCCGGGGAUAACAGGCUUAUCUCCCCCAAGAGUUCACAUCGACGGGGAGGUUUGGCACCUCGAUGUCGGCUCAUCGCAUCCUGGGGCUGUAGUCGGUCCCAAGGGUUGGGCUGUUCGCCCAUUAAAGCGGUACGCGAGCUGGGUUCAGAACGUCGUGAGACAGUUCGGUCCCUAUCCGUCGUGGGCGUAGGAAAUUUGAGAGGAGCUGUCCUUAGUACGAGAGGACCGGGAUGGACAUACCUCUGGUGUACCAGUUGUCGUGCCAACGGCAUAGCUGGGUAGCUAUGUGUGGACGGGAUAAGUGCUGAAAGCAUCUAAGCAUGAAGCCCCCCUCAAGAUGAGAUUUCCCAACUUCGGUUAUAAGAUCCCUCAAAGAUGAUGAGGUUAAUAGGUUCGAGGUGGAAGCAUGGUGACAUGUGGAGCUGACGAAUACUAAUCGAUCGAAGACUUAAUCAA
RNAcentral lists this ribosomal RNA (2017 nucleotides) under Staphylococcus aureus M0334. RNAcentral describes it as "bacterial LSU rRNA". It matches the Rfam family "Bacterial large subunit ribosomal RNA", at positions 888 to 2925 of the family's 2925-position model. The record is from RNAcentral. Lineage: Bacteria; Bacillati; Bacillota; Bacilli; Caryophanales; Staphylococcaceae.